UUUAAAACACAGUAGGCUUUUAAGCUUAAGCCAGAGUGAAUGGUAAAGGAAAUACCAUCCAUGUGGUGAAACAUCAUCCCAAACGCCCUGCAACAUUUACUAACUCACUGGCUCUGUGAACUCAUUAUUGUUGCUAGAUCUGCCAUUAAUUUUCAAGUCCAUGUUUUGGAGAGAAAACGCAUUUACACAAUUACAAGAUUUUCAGUAAACCUUUGGGAAACUGCCGUGGUCUGGUCACAUCUCUGCUGUGAGGUUGCUUUUGUCUUCUGAGACCUGAGUUUACAGGAAUCACUGGUUCAAGAGAGAGUGGGACCCUGAGAGAGCAGAACUUGCUGAAGGAGCUUGAUGCACAGGAGAGCGAGCUCUCUGAAGAGCAGAGGGUCAUCUUGCUUCAAGUUCCAGAAGAACAUGUUUCCUCCCAUGGAAGUGAACUAAAGAGCACCAUCCAGAAGAAAUCAGGACUCAUUGGUGGGAGGUUCCAGGGCUCAAAGACAUUUGGCAGCAUUGUCAAUAAAGACGUUCAAGUCAGAAGACUA
This is a long non-coding RNA of Zalophus californianus (California sea lion), 536 nucleotides long. RefSeq lists it as uncharacterized. NCBI's taxonomy places the organism in Eukaryota, Metazoa, Chordata, Mammalia, Carnivora, Otariidae. The transcript has 3 exons. The record is from RefSeq and is a predicted model, not a curated record.